CCUACGGGAGGCAGCAGCAAGGAAUCUUGCGCAAUGGGCGAAAGCCUGACGCAGCAACGCCGCGUGGGGGAAGAAGGCCUUCGGGUUGUAAACCCCUUUUGCAGGGGAAGAUAGUGACGGUACCCUGCGAAUAAGCCACGGCUAACUACGUGCCAGCAGCCGCGGUAAUACGUAGGUGGCGAGCGUUGUCCGGAUUUACUUGGCGUAAAGCGCGUGUAGGCGGCUUGUUAAGUCCGGGGUGAAAUCUCCCGGCUCAACUGGGAGGGGUCCUCGGAUACUGGCAGGCUUGAGGGGAGCAGAGGAGAGUGGAAUUCCCGGUGUAGUGGUAAAAUGCGGAG
Molecule: ribosomal RNA, 338 nt
Filed under: uncultured Chloroflexota bacterium
Lineage: Bacteria; Bacillati; Chloroflexota
Description: uncultured Chloroflexi bacterium partial 16S ribosomal RNA
Rfam family: Bacterial small subunit ribosomal RNA
Source: RNAcentral